CAUCCUGGGGCUGGAGCAGGUCCCAAGGGUUCGGCUGUUCGCCGAUUAAAGUGGUACGUGAGCUGGGUUUAGAACGUCGUGAGACAGUUCGGUCCCUAUCUGCCGUGGGUGUAGGAGACUUGAGAGGAUCUGUCCUCAGUACGAGAGGACCGGGAUGGACGGACCUCUGGUGCACCAGUUGUGACGCCAGUCGCAUCGCUGGGUAGCUAUGUCCGGAAGGGAUAACCGCUGAAAGCAUCUAAGCGGGAAACCUCCCUCAAAACCAGGUCUCCCUUGAGAGCCGUGGAAGACCACCACGUCGAUAGGCCGGGUGUGUAAGCGCAGCAAUGCGCUGAGCUGACCGGUACUAAUCGCUCGAUCGGCUCGAAAGAUCCC
RNAcentral lists this ribosomal RNA (375 nucleotides) under Tistrella sp. RNAcentral describes it as "bacterial LSU rRNA". It matches the Rfam family "Bacterial large subunit ribosomal RNA", at positions 2543 to 2925 of the family's 2925-position model. Lineage: Bacteria; Pseudomonadati; Pseudomonadota; Alphaproteobacteria; Geminicoccales; Geminicoccaceae. The record is from RNAcentral.